UACGUAGGGGGCGAGCGUUGUCCGGAAUCAUUGGGCGUAAAGAGCUCGUAGGCGGUUCAGUAAGUCAGGUGUGAAAGCUCCGAGCUCAACUCGGAGAGACCACCUGAUACUGCUGUGACUAGAAUCCAGUAGGGGAGUGUGGAACUCCCGGUGUAGUGGUGAAAUGCGUAGAGAUCGGGAGGAACACCCGUGGCGAAGGCGGCUCACUGGGCCGGUCCUGACGCUGAGACGCGAAGGCGUGGGGAGCGAACGGG
Molecule: ribosomal RNA, 254 nt
Filed under: uncultured bacterium
Lineage: Bacteria
Description: partial 16S ribosomal RNA
Rfam family: Bacterial small subunit ribosomal RNA
Source: RNAcentral